CUCGCACAAGCACUGAAAAAGGAGGAAGCAAUAUAAUCCGAAGGCAAAAUGAGCUUUCCAUGACUUUAUCCCCUGAACGAGAACAAAUAGACCUUUGUCCAGUGCAAAACACGCUGGAUGAAACAAAAAAUUCAGAGAAAUUGGAAUGGACACAUCCUAACCCAGAGGUUUAAUUUCCUAUAGUGCGUACUGAACCCAAGUGCAACAAAUCGAAGAGCUAAAACCGCCAGGCUGGAUCGUACGCGACUGACUAUUCAAAGGCAGAGAGGCGACGAGAGAUUAUUUAUCUUUCUUCUUCGGAGGAUGUGAAUAUUUCUAUCCAGGCACAUCCUUGUUGUGCUUGGCACUUGAACAGGUUUGCAAACCUUGGCUGUUACUGCUGAUGAAGGUGGCUGAAAUCUGUGGUGAAAAAGGAGCUUACAGUCAUUUCUCACUGCCAUGAAGUCUGUGAUUGGCAGCCCAGUGGACAUUCAAAUAUGUUCCGUGGAUAAAUUUCUUCUCUGGAGAAGCCAAUCACCAAGGGAAUAACAGCCAGGAAGAAAUGAAAGCAGUAGUUGGUGAUUUAUGAUUUGGAAUGACGAGACCAUCUUUUCUCAAGAACAGAAACACUUUGUGUUAUCAGAACGAUGGACAAAAGAUUGGUUCCAAAGCAUGGAUAAAGACAAUUGGAUUUUCCAGUUCAGAUGAAUCUGGGAGAAAUGAAACCUCGGCUCCUCUGGGCACAUUUCCCUGGUGUGAGGUUGGAAAUCCCAAUCCUUACGGGAAGGAGACUGUGAGGACUAUAAACGAUUGACCCUCCAGCUGGACCUCGUCAGAAGAGGGUCUAGCAAUCAGAGCGUGCUUAAUGCGUGACAUUCAUGAUGAAGAGGACGAUGACUUCAAAGUGUGGGAUGUGCUGAUCGAUCAUAUAUCCCAAUUCAACUUUCCUUCAAACGUGUCCUGCACCUUCUCCUUGGAAUGCAUAUAAUGCAAAUGCUGUCUCUUUAAUUUCCUUUCGGUCCUACUGCCAUUGAUGGCUCCGGCAUUGUUUCACUGUCACAUUUUAAUAACAGUGUUUUAUUGUUGAAUUUCACUUGCGAGUUUCUGUCUAUUUUUGACUUGUACACAUGGGUCUACGAUUAACUUUCAAUCUGCUGCAUGACAUAAAAGAUAUUACUGCCUUAGUCUUGUGCUCCAAAGAGUGUCCAAGCACAUUACCCCUUGAGGCUCGUGUUCUGAUGACAUACUUAGAAGUAGAUUGCGGGUAUUUUGGCAGGUUGACUCAUUUAGCCCUGUUAAAAGAACA
Molecule: long non-coding RNA, 1285 nt
Filed under: Ornithorhynchus anatinus (platypus)
Lineage: Eukaryota; Metazoa; Chordata; Mammalia; Monotremata; Ornithorhynchidae
Description: lncRNA (ENSOANG00000046172.1)
Source: RNAcentral